CCUACGGGAGGCAGCAGUAGGGAAUCUUGGACAAUGGGGGCAACCCUGAUCCAGCCAUGCCGCGUGAGUGAUGAAGGCCCUAGGGUCGUAAAGCUCUUUCGCCUGUGAUGAUAAUGACAGUAGCAGGUAAAGAAACCCCGGCUAACUCCGUGCCAGCAGCCGCGGUAAUACGGAGGGGGUUAGCGUUGUUCGGAAUUACUGGGCGUAAAGCGCGCGUAGGCGGAUUGGAAAGUUAGAGGUGAAAUCCCGGGGCUCAACCCCGGAACUGCCUUUAAAACUCCCAGUCUAGAGUUCGAGAGAGGUGAGUGGAAUUCCAAGUGUAGAGGUGAAAUUCGUAGAUAUUUGGAGGAACACCAGUGGCGAAGGCGGCUCACUGGCUCGAUACUGACGCUGAGGUGCGAAAGUGUGGGGAGCAAACAGGAUUAGAUACCCUGGUAGUCCACACCGUAAACGAUGAAUGCCAGUCGUCGGGUAGUAUACUAUUCGGUGACACACCUAACGGAUUAAGCAUUCCGCCUGGGGAGUACGGUCGCAAGAUUAAAACUCAAAGGAAUUGACGG
Molecule: ribosomal RNA, 560 nt
Filed under: uncultured bacterium
Lineage: Bacteria
Description: bacterial SSU rRNA
Rfam family: Bacterial small subunit ribosomal RNA
Source: RNAcentral